GAUGAAGAACGUAGCGAAAUGCGAUAAGUAAUGUGAAUUGCAGAAUUCAGUGAAUCAUCGAAUCUUUGAACGCACAUUGCGCCCGCCAGUAUUCUGGCGGGCAUGCCUGUUCGAGCGUCAUUACAACCCUCAGGCCCCCGGGCCUGGCGUUGGGGAUCGGCGGAAGCCCCCUGUGGGCACACGCCGUCCCUCAAAUACAGUGGCGGUCCCGCCGCAGCUUCCAUUGCGUAGUAGCUAACACCUCGCAACUGGAGAGCGGCGCGGCCAUGCCGUAAAACACCCAACUUCUGAAUGUUGACCUCGAAUCAGGUAGGAAUACCCGCCGAACUUAAGCAUAUCAAUAAGCGGAGGA
This 352-nucleotide unclassified non-coding RNA is filed under the name soil metagenome. RNAcentral's name for it is "partial contains 5.8S ribosomal RNA, internal transcribed spacer 2, and large subunit ribosomal RNA". The stretch from base 1 to 120 matches the Rfam family "5.8S ribosomal RNA", at positions 35 to 154 of the family's 154-position model. The record is from RNAcentral.